CGGGCCCCGAAUGAAGGCCAGCGUCUGCCGGAGCUGCUGGAUUCAAGCAGGAGCCCAAAGAACUGUCUUUCUGCGGCCUGCUGGCCACCUCAGAACUUAGGAAAUGUCAUGGGCAGUUCAUCAGAAAGAAACAUCU
Myotis daubentonii (Daubenton's bat) is the source of this 136-nucleotide small nucleolar RNA. The record is from RefSeq and is a predicted model, not a curated record. Lineage: Eukaryota; Metazoa; Chordata; Mammalia; Chiroptera; Vespertilionidae.